Molecule: ribosomal RNA, 483 nt
Filed under: uncultured bacterium
Lineage: Bacteria
Description: partial 16S ribosomal RNA
Rfam family: Bacterial small subunit ribosomal RNA
Source: RNAcentral
GACGAACGCUGGCGGCGUGCUUAACACAUGCAAGUCGAACGAUGAAAGUGGAGCUUGCUCCGCUGGAUUAGUGGCGAACGGGUGAGUAACACGUGGGCAACCUGCCCCAGACUCUGGGAUAACUCCUCGAAAGAGGUGCUAAUACCGGAUACGAACUCCUUGAGCAUCCUUGGAGUUGGAAAGUUUUUCGGUCUGGGAUGGGCCCGCGGCCUAUCAGCUUGUUGGUGGGGUAGUGGCCCACCAAGGCGACGACGGGUAGCCGGCCUGAGAGGGCGACCGGCCAAAAUGGGACUGAGACACGGCCCAGACUCAUACGGGAGGCAGCAGUGGGGAAUAUUGCGCAAUGGGCGAAAGCCUGACGCAGCGACGCCGCGUGAGGGAUGACGGCCUUCGGGUUGUAAACCUCUUUCAGCAGGGAAGAAGCGAAAGUGACGGUACCUGCAGAAGAAGCACCGGCUAACUACGUGCCAGCAGCCGCCGUAA